RNAcentral lists this small nuclear RNA (36 nucleotides) under Cervus elaphus hippelaphus. Lineage: Eukaryota; Metazoa; Chordata; Mammalia; Artiodactyla; Cervidae. The record is from RNAcentral.
GCUUCUCAGCCUUUUGGCUAAGAUCAGGUACAGUAU